UUGCCUUAGUAACGGCGAGUGAAGCGGCAAUAGCUCAAAUUUGAAAGCUGGCGUCUUCGACGUCCGCGUUGUAAUUUGUAGAGGAUGCUUCGGCGAAGACUCCUGCCUAAGUCCCCUGGAACGGGGCGUCAUAGAGGGUGAGAAUCCCGUAUGUGGCGGGCAGUCUAAGCCAUGUGAAGCUCCUUCGACGAGUCGAGUUGUUUGGGAAUGCAGCUCUAAAUGGGAGGUAAAUUUCUUCUAAAGCUAAAUAUUGGCCAGAGACCGAUAGCGCACAAGUAGAGUGAUCGAAAGAUGAAAAGCACUUUGGAAAGAGAGUUAAAAAGUACGUGAAAUUGUUGAAAGGGAAGCGCUUGCAACCAGACUCGCUCGUAGUUGCUCAGCCGGCCUCUUGGCCGGUGUACUCUUCUACGAUCGGGCCAGCAUCAGUUCGGGCGGCAGGAUAAAGGUGUCGGGAAUGUAGCACCCUUCGGGGUGUGUUAUAGCCCGGCGCGGAAUGCUGCCAGCCUGGACUGAGGAUCUCGCUUCGGCAAGGAUGCUGGCGUAAUGGUUGUAAGCGGCCCGUCUUGAAACACGGACCAAGGAGUCUAACAUCUAUGCGAGUGUUUGGGUGUCAAACCCAUGCGCGUAAUGAAAGUGAACGGAGGUGGGAACCCCUCACGGGGUGCACCAUCGACCGAUCCUGAUGUCUUCGGAUGGAUUUGAGUAAGAGCAUAGCUGUUGGGACCCGAAAGAUGGUGAACUAUGCCUGAAUAGGGUGAAGCCAGAGGAAACUCUGGUGGAGGCUCGCAGCGGUUCUGACGUGCAAAUCGAUCGUCAAAUUUGGGUAUAGGGGCGAAAGACUAAUCG
Molecule: ribosomal RNA, 846 nt
Filed under: Guignardia psidii
Lineage: Eukaryota; Fungi; Ascomycota; Dothideomycetes; Botryosphaeriales; Phyllostictaceae
Description: partial large subunit ribosomal RNA
Rfam family: Eukaryotic large subunit ribosomal RNA
Source: RNAcentral